Molecule: ribosomal RNA, 511 nt
Filed under: uncultured bacterium
Lineage: Bacteria
Description: partial 16S ribosomal RNA
Source: RNAcentral
GGAGUUAGCCGGUGCUUCUUCUGCGAGUAACGUCACAGAUGUAAGGUAUUAACUUACACCCUUUCCUCCUCGCUGAAAGUGCUUUACAACCCGAAGGCCUUCUUCACACACGCGGCAUGGCUGCAUCAGGGUUUCCCCCAUUGUGCAAUAUUCCCCACUGCUGCCUCCCGUAGGAGUCUGGGCCGUGUCUCAGUCCCAGUGUGGCUGAUCAUCCUCUCAGACCAGCUAGGGAUCGUCGCCUAGGUGAGCCUUUACCUCACCUACUAGCUAAUCCCACCUGGGCUUAUCCAUCAGCGCAAGGCCCGAAGGUCCCCUGCUUUCCCCCGUAGGGCGUAUGCGGUAUUAGCAGUCGUUUCCAACUGUUAUCCCCCACAAAUGGGCAAAUUCACAGGCAUUACUCACCCGUCCGCCGCUCGUCAUCUUCAAAAGCAAGCUUUUGAAAUGUUACCGCUCGACUUGCAUGUGUUAGGCCUGCCGCCAGCGUUCAAUCUGAGCCAUGAUCAAACUCUGA